RNAcentral lists this long non-coding RNA (761 nucleotides) under Rattus norvegicus (Norway rat). RNAcentral's name for it is "long non-coding RNA NONRATT005249". The record is from RNAcentral. Lineage: Eukaryota; Metazoa; Chordata; Mammalia; Rodentia; Muridae.
CGGAGAGCUGAAGGGAGCGGUGCGGUGCGGCGCGCCGAGAUUCUCAUUCUGUAUAUGCUGGGAGCUCUUUUCCUGACCUGCUGUGGGAAGAAAAACACAGCUCUAGCCUCUGGCUGUGGACGUGAAAGGGGUGUCUAGAGUGGCUUGGUAAUCUUGGGUCUCAGAAGUCCACACGUGUGAUCUGAGGCAUCUUUAGGAAGACCUGCGUCUGAACUUCCAGCCAGCAAGCCGUCCAGCUGGCCCGUGACGCCGUGACUCACGCCUCGUUACUGGUUACAUCUCUUUUGUACCUAGCACGCGCCUGCCAUUGUGUGCCACCUGCAAAAGGCCCACUAUCAAGUUCCCUGUACCCAGCUUCUCAGGGACUCGACUGUGAGUGCCAGUCACCAUGAACACUUGAGAAAUUCCUGUGCUGUGCUUCAGGGCUGAGGGCGGCAAACACCCUGCCUUCUGGGGUCACCGCAUAGGACAAGUUCGUUGUUAAGGCUUCCUACUGUUAUGCAGCCUUCAAAAUUAACUUGGGCCCAAGUCUACCUAGCUCCUUCUCUGGUUUCUUCCUUCCCAGGCACACAGGGUGUAAUGUGACAUUUGGGUAUGGGAGUUACAGUCUAGAAGAGGAGGGGGACAUACAAGCAGAUGGCCACCAUGCCUCAAUGCACCGAAGGGGGUGGAGACAGAAGUGGAUACAGAAGCACUGACCCGGAAGGUCACUGGAAGGACUUGGAAGGAGAUUUGAUUGGAAAGAAAGAAAGGUGACAACU